AUUCCAGCUCCAAUAGCGUAUAUUAAAGUUGUUGCAGUUAAAAAGCUCGUAGUUGAAUUUCUGGUGGGAGUGUACAGUCCGACACUGAGUGUUGGUUCUUGUGUGUCUCCGGCCAUCCUUGGAGUGAAUCUGUCUGGCAUUUAGUUGUUGGGCAGAGUAUCUCCAUCGUUUACUGUGAGGAAAGGAAAGUGUUCAAAGCAGGCUUACGCCGUUGAAUCUUUUAGCAUGGAAUAAUAAGAUAGGAUCUUGAUACUAUUUUGUUGGUUUGUGUACGGAAAUAAUGAUUAACAGGAACAGUGUUGUGGGUAUUCGUAUUUCGUUGUCAGAGGUGAAAUUCUUGGAUUUACGAAAGACGAACGACUGCGAAAGCAUUUACCAAGGAUGUUUUCAUCA
This 393-nucleotide ribosomal RNA is filed under the name Eucampia sp. Its description in RNAcentral is "partial small subunit ribosomal RNA". It matches the Rfam family "Eukaryotic small subunit ribosomal RNA", at positions 582 to 975 of the family's 1831-position model. Lineage: Eukaryota; Bacillariophyta; Thalassiosirophyceae; Eucampiales; Eucampiaceae. The record is from RNAcentral.